This is a long non-coding RNA of Drosophila pseudoobscura, 762 nucleotides long. RefSeq lists it as uncharacterized. Lineage: Eukaryota; Metazoa; Arthropoda; Insecta; Diptera; Drosophilidae. The transcript has 3 exons. The record is from RefSeq and is a predicted model, not a curated record.
CAUCUGUAUCUUUUUGAUACGCCAUUCGAAACGAAUGCAUUUGUUCGAUAAUGGGAAACCAGUCUGAAACUGGGGUUUAAGACCCUCAAUAGACUAAGAAAAUGUGGACAAGUCUAAGGAUGUUUGAGGCGUGCUUUACAUCUGAUAUUUAGAUUAUUCACAUGGUAUUAUUCUGUGCUGCUACCAAAUAAAUCCCCAUUCCGACGACUGUCGACUGUCGGUAUUCAUUUCCCACACCGACCGGCACCGCCAUCAAAAUCGGCCGCUCAGCGCGUGCCGUCGGCAUCUGAAAGGGCAACGCGACGAAAGAAGACACCAAUAUAGCCACGCACACCAAAUCGAAGUAACUGUAAACGAUUUAAGUGCAUGGGCGAGCGAGCGAGCGGAGAAGUUGACUCUUUGCACUGACCUGCCCCUCCUUUUCGCUUGCAUGGGGUGGGAGGGGGAACUUUGCGAGUGUUGCAGAAAAAUCAUAAAUGCAAACAAUAAAAUUGAAAUAUAUGUACGUAGGUGCACGCUGCACGUAGCAUGCACACACAGAUGGCGACAGACGAGUAUGAGUGCGAUCAAUUAAACUGAUUGAAUCACUUUUAAAUGAAACGCCUUGGCCGUGUCAGUCAGCGACUCGUCAGUGGGAGGGAGGCAGGGAAUUGCGUGUUGCGCGUGUGUGAGUGUGUGUAUACGAUGAUGUGGAAAGUGAAAAGGGGCUUUGAUCUCGUCUCGCGUCAGGGGGCACAGUGAAGACAAGCAGAUAUGCUCGAA